AUAAAAGUAAUGAUGGAGAGAGUACGUUAUAAGUGCCGUCUAGCGAUUUAGGGAUAGUGGGAGCCUAAACGAAACGCUUAUAAAAGAAAAUCACUCCUGAACUAGAUUGUUGAAAGGGAAGUAGGCAAUCUCGUCAACACCGCGUUAAGGUGUCUUAAGCGGCGCUUUUACAGCGCAACUAGGGUGGUACCGCGAGAAAUCUCCUCCUCGUCCCUUUU
This 218-nucleotide non-coding RNA is filed under the name Rummeliibacillus stabekisii. Its description in RNAcentral is "T-box sequence". It matches the Rfam family "T-box leader". From Rfam's summary of the family: Uncharged tRNA acts as the effector for transcription antitermination of genes in the T-box leader family. Lineage: Bacteria; Bacillati; Bacillota; Bacilli; Caryophanales; Caryophanaceae. The record is from RNAcentral.